Triticum aestivum (bread wheat) is the source of this 136-nucleotide non-coding RNA. The record is from Rfam. Lineage: Eukaryota; Viridiplantae; Streptophyta; Magnoliopsida; Poales; Poaceae.
AUUCUACUCCCUCCGCUCCACAAUACAUGCCUUCUAUUUGUCAAAAUAUAGAUGUAUCUAGACAUGUUUUAGUAUAUAGGUACAUCCAUUUUUGGACAAAUAGAAGUCAAGUAUUUUGGAACGGAGGGAGUACACA